This 238-nucleotide ribosomal RNA is filed under the name uncultured bacterium. RNAcentral describes it as "partial 16S ribosomal RNA". It matches the Rfam family "Bacterial small subunit ribosomal RNA", at positions 791 to 1035 of the family's 1533-position model. The record is from RNAcentral.
UAGUCCACGCCGUAAACGAUGAGUACUAAGUGUUGGGAGUCAGAUCUCAGUGCUGCAGUUAACGCAAUAAGUACUCCGCCUGAGUAGUACGUUCGCAAGAAUGAAACUCAAAGGAAUUGACGGGGGCCCGCACAAGCGGUGGAGCAUGUGGUUUAAUUCGAAGCAACGCGAAGAACCUUACCAGGUCUUGACAUCGGUAUAAAAGCCCUAGAGAUAGGGAAAUAGGAAUAUACCAGAC